This 493-nucleotide long non-coding RNA is filed under the name Glycine max (soybean). Its description in RNAcentral is "long non-coding RNA (GMAX_LNC004678)". The record is from RNAcentral. Lineage: Eukaryota; Viridiplantae; Streptophyta; Magnoliopsida; Fabales; Fabaceae.
GGGCAAGUGAAUACUGAAUAGUAAACAAAUUCUUUACUGCACUACAAAUUAUGCUAGGAUCCAAUGUUUGUCAUACAAGAUUAUAAGAAGCAUCAAGUGUUUGCUAAUAAUUACGAGAUCAACAGUUCCAACAGCUUAAUAAGGUAUGAUACCCUUCAAAACAUCUGUGCUCAUUUGAUAACAACUACAAGCUGAAUGGCUUCAACAGUUUAACAAGAAUCUCAAAAUUUUAUACCAUAUUGCAACCGCACUUUAGGCCAAAUCCUCUGGUAUAUACUGUGGUACUGUACAAUAUUCUUAAAACUUCUUUUCAUUUUUAUAAUAACUAUUGUUUUCAUUUUAACAAGGUAAACUUAAAUACUUGAAGGCUGAAAUUACAUUAUCAGGUUGGGGGGAAAAAGAACUGCUGGACAAUUUCGUGAAGGUUUUGUUUUUUACUUGAUGAAAUGAAUUACCAGGAUAGACUUGUCUCUUUAAACUGUAUAUUGCAUCC